This 497-nucleotide ribosomal RNA is filed under the name uncultured bacterium. Its description in RNAcentral is "partial 16S ribosomal RNA". It matches the Rfam family "Bacterial small subunit ribosomal RNA", at positions 28 to 507 of the family's 1533-position model. The record is from RNAcentral.
GAUGAACGCUGGCGGCGUGCCUAAUACAUGCAAGUCGAGCGAACGGACGAGAAGCUCGCUUCUCUGAUGUUAGCGGCGGACGGGUGAGUAACACGUGGAUAACCUACCUAUAAGACUGGGAUAACUUCGGGAAACCGUAGCUAAUACCGGAUAAUAUUUUGAACCGCAUGGUUCAAAAGUGAAAGACGGUCUUGCUGUCACUUAUAGAUGGAUCCGCGCUGCAUUAGCUAGUUGGUAAGGUAACGGCUUACCAAGGCAACGAUGCAUAGCCGACCUGAGAGGGGGAUAGGCCACACGGGAACUGAGACACGGUCCAGACGACUACGGGAGGCAGCAGUAGGGAAUCUUACGCAAUGGGCGAAAGCCUGACGGAGCAACGCCGCGUGAGUGAUGAAGGUCUUCGGAUCGUAAAACUCUGUUAUUAGGGAAGAACAGAUGUGUAAGUAACUGUGCACAUCUUGACGGUACCUAAUCAGAAAGCCACGGCUAACUACGUG